This 440-nucleotide ribosomal RNA is filed under the name uncultured bacterium. Its description in RNAcentral is "partial 16S ribosomal RNA". It matches the Rfam family "Bacterial small subunit ribosomal RNA", at positions 338 to 795 of the family's 1533-position model. The record is from RNAcentral.
CCUACGGGAGGCAGCAGUGGGGGAUAUUGCACAAUGGGGGAAACCCUGAUGCAGCGACGCCGCGUGUGGGAAGACGGUCCUCUGGAUUGUAAACCACUGUCCCCAGGGACGAAGAUGACGGUACCUGGGGAGGAAGCUCCGGCUAACUACGUGCCAGCAGCCGCGGUAAUACGGAGGGAGCGAGCUUUGUCCGGAUAUACUGGGUGUAAAGGGAGCGUAGGCGGGGAUGUAAGUUGGGUGUCAAAACUACCGGCACAACUGGUAGGCGCACUCAAAACUGCAGCUCUUGAGUGAAGUAGAGGCAGGCGGAAUUCCUAGUGUAGCGGUGAAAUGCGUAGAUAUUAGGAGGAACACCAGUGGCGAAGGCGGCAUGCUGGGCUUUUACUGACGCUGAGGCUCGAAAGUGUGGGGAGCAAACAGGAUUAGAUACCCGUGUAGUC